Rhopalosiphum maidis (corn leaf aphid) is the source of this 565-nucleotide long non-coding RNA. RefSeq lists it as uncharacterized. Lineage: Eukaryota; Metazoa; Arthropoda; Insecta; Hemiptera; Aphididae. The record is from RefSeq and is a predicted model, not a curated record. The transcript is spliced from 3 exons.
CACCGAAACCAUGUGAAUCUACAUACAUGCGACUGUACCCUUAUUAACUGCAACUCUAUAUUGCGCGUUAUAAUACAUAAUACCUAUUAUUGUCAUUUCAUUCGCCUACGCGACUACGCCGUUAACGCACGUACACAAAUUCCUCGUCUCCAUCAGUUCGAUUUUCGUUCUCGUAUCGUUAUAAUAUUACCAUGUACCAUAAAACAUUAGUACAUCGUCGCGAUGUUGUAUAUAAGAAUUGAGCAUCCGGCCGACAUUAUCUUAUAAUAUGUUAUGGAAUUUACAUCUUAUAACAGAGGAAUUAUAAUUCUUAAAUGACGUACAGCGGAGAAAAAACGUACAACAAAAAACGUGCAUCCAUAAUUGAACUAAAACAAUAUAUUGCGGUUUUAUGUAAGCUCUUCAAAUGUUCAUUCCCGGGUCAGAUUUAAACGCAACAAGACAACAAAAUAUUUAUAUGAACAUUGAACAUAUAAUAUAUAUCAUAUUAUGUGUUAAAAAAUUGUAAGAUUAUUUUAUAACAUAUAAAUAUUUACAUAAUAUAUAAUUACAUUUAUAAAAAUCU